AUUGAACGCUGGCGGCAUGCCUUACACAUGCAAGUCGAACGGCAGCACGGGAGCUUGCUCCUGGUGGCGAGUGGCGAACGGGGGAGUAAUGCAUCGGAACGUACCCGGAAGUGGGGGAUAACGUAGCGAAAGUUACGCCAAUACCGCAUAUUCUGUGAGCAGGAAAGAGGGGGAUCGCAAGACCUCCCGCUUUCGGAGCUGCCGAUGUCGGAUUAGCUAGUUGGUGGGGUAAAUGCCUACCAAGGCGACGAUCUGUAGCGGGUCUGAGAGGAUGAUCCGCCACACUGGAACUGAGACACGGUCCAGACUAAUACGGGAGGCAGAAGUGGGGAAUUUUGGACAAUGGGCGAAAGCCAGAUCCAGCCAUGCCGCGUGAGUGAAGAAGGCCUUCGGGUUGUAAAGCUCUUUCGGCUGAAAAGAAAUCGCACAGGCUAAUACCCUGUGUGGAUGACGGUAUCAGCAUAAGAAGCACCGGCUAACUACGUGCCAGCAGCCGCGGUAA
RNAcentral lists this ribosomal RNA (502 nucleotides) under uncultured bacterium. RNAcentral describes it as "partial 16S ribosomal RNA". It matches the Rfam family "Bacterial small subunit ribosomal RNA", at positions 30 to 523 of the family's 1533-position model. The record is from RNAcentral.